RNAcentral lists this ribosomal RNA (680 nucleotides) under uncultured bacterium. Its description in RNAcentral is "bacterial SSU rRNA". It matches the Rfam family "Bacterial small subunit ribosomal RNA", at positions 24 to 750 of the family's 1533-position model. The record is from RNAcentral.
UCAGAACGAACGCUGGCGGCAUGCCUAACACAUGCAAGUCGAACGAAGCCUUCGGGCUUAGUGGCGCACGGGUGCGUAACGCGUGGGAAUCUGCCCUUGGGUUCGGAAUAACAGUUAGAAAUGACUGCUAAUACCGGAUGAUGUCUUCGGACCAAAGAUUUAUCGCCCAAGGAUGAGCCCGCGUAGGAUUAGGUAGUUGGUGGGGUAAAGGCCUACCAAGCCGACGAUCCUUAGCUGGUCUGAGAGGAUGAUCAGCCACACUGGGACUGAGACACGGCCCAGACUCCUACGGGAGGCAGCAGUGGGGAAUAUUGGACAAUGGGGGCAACCCUGAUCCAGCAAUGCCGCGUGAGUGAUGAAGGCCUUAGGGUCGUAAAGCUCUUUUACCAGGGAUGAUAAUGACAGUACCUGGAGAAUAAGCUCCGGCUAACUCCGUGCCAGCAGCCGCGGUAAUACGGAGGGAGCUAGCGUUGUUCGGAAUUACUGGGCGUAAAGCGCACGUAGGCGGUUAUUCAAGUCAGAGGUGAAAGCCCGGGGCUCAACCCCGGAACUGCCUUUGAAACUAGAUGACUGGAAUCUUGGAGAGGUCAGUGGAAUUCCGAGUGUAGAGGUGAAAUUCGUAGAUAUUCGGAAGAACACCAGUGGCGAAGGCGACUGACUGGACAAGUAUUGACGCUGAG